GUUGGGGUGGCAGAGCUCGGCAAAUGCAAAAGACCUAAGCCCUUUUUACAGAGGUUCAAGUCCUCUCCUUAACU
RNAcentral lists this transfer RNA (74 nucleotides) under Scortum barcoo (barcoo grunter). RNAcentral describes it as "tRNA-Leu". It matches the Rfam family "tRNA". From Rfam's summary of the family: Transfer RNA (tRNA) molecules are approximately 80 nucleotides in length. Their secondary structure includes four short double-helical elements and three loops (D, anti-codon, and T loops). Lineage: Eukaryota; Metazoa; Chordata; Actinopteri; Centrarchiformes; Terapontidae. The record is from RNAcentral. RNAcentral also lists the same sequence under 1 other name.